GUAGGUGGCAAGCGUUGUCCGGAAUUAUUGGGCGUAAAGCGCGCGCAGGCGGUUCUUUAAGUCUGAUGUGAAAGCCCACGGCUCAACCGUGGAGGGUCAUUGGAAACUGGAGAACUUGAGUACAGAAGAGGAAAGCGGAAUUCCACGUGUAGCGGUGAAAUGCGUAGAGAUGUGGAGGAACACCAGUGGCGAAGGCGGCUUUCUGGUCUGUAACUGACGCUGAGGCGCGAAAGCGUGGGGAGCAAACAGGGAUUAGAUACCCUGGUAGUCCACGCCGUAAACGAUGAGUGCUAAGUGUUAGGGGGUUUCCGCCCCCUUAGUGCUGCAGCUUACGCAUUAAGCACUCCGCCUGGGGAGUACGGCCGCAAGGCUG
Molecule: ribosomal RNA, 373 nt
Filed under: uncultured organism
Description: partial 16S ribosomal RNA
Rfam family: Bacterial small subunit ribosomal RNA
Source: RNAcentral